UAUGGGCGGCAGCAGUAGGGAAUCUUCCACAAUGGAUGCAAGUCUGAUGGAGCAACGCCGCGUGAGUGAAGAAGGUUUUCGGAUCGUAAAGCUCUGUUGUUGGAGAAGAACGAUAAAGGUAGUGACUGGCCUUUAUCUGACGGUAAUCAACCAGAAAGUCACGGCUAACUAC
Molecule: ribosomal RNA, 172 nt
Filed under: uncultured bacterium
Lineage: Bacteria
Description: partial 16S ribosomal RNA
Rfam family: Bacterial small subunit ribosomal RNA
Source: RNAcentral